AGGCCAUAUCACGCUCAAGCACCGGUUCUCGUACGAUCACCAAAGUUAAACAACGUCGAGCUUGGUCAGUACCUCGAUGGGUGACUGCUUCGGAAUACAAGGUGUUGUAA
Molecule: non-coding RNA, 110 nt
Organism: Acanthosepion pharaonis
Lineage: Eukaryota; Metazoa; Mollusca; Cephalopoda; Sepiida; Sepiidae
Source: the annotation of a GenBank genome assembly